GUGCUUGCUUCAGCAGCACAUACACUAAAAUUGGAACGAUACAAGAUUAGCAUGGCCCCUGCACAUGGAUGACACUCAAAUUUGUGAAGCAUUCCAUAUUAAA
This is a small nuclear RNA of Ochotona princeps (American pika), 103 nucleotides long. The record is from Ensembl. Lineage: Eukaryota; Metazoa; Chordata; Mammalia; Lagomorpha; Ochotonidae.